This 295-nucleotide ribosomal RNA is filed under the name uncultured bacterium. RNAcentral describes it as "partial 16S ribosomal RNA". It matches the Rfam family "Bacterial small subunit ribosomal RNA", at positions 30 to 326 of the family's 1533-position model. The record is from RNAcentral.
AUUGAACGCUGGCGGCAUGCCUUACACAUGCAAGUCGAACGGCAGCACGGGAGCAAUCCUGGUGGCGAGUGGCGAACGGGUGAGUAAUAUAUCGGAACGUGCCCAGUCGUGGGGAUAACGUAGCGAAAGCUACGCUAAUACCGCAUACGAUCUACGGAUGAAAGCGGGGGAUCGCAAGACCUCGCGCGAUUGGAGCGGCCGAUAUCAGAUUAGGUAGUUGGUGAGGUAAAGGCUCACCAAGCCGACGAUCUGUAGCUGGUCUGAGAGGACGACCAGCCACACUGGGACUGAGACA